GGCGAACGCUGGCGGCGUGCUUAACACAUGCAAGUCGAACGGAAAGGCCCUGCUUUUGUGGGGUGCUCGAGUGGCGAACGGGUGAGUAACACGUGAGUAACCUGCCCUUGACUUUGGGAUAACUUCAGGAAACUGGGGCUAAUACCGGAUAGGAGCUCCUGCUGCAUGGUGGGGGUUGGAAAGUUUCGGCGGUUGGGGAUGGACUCGCGGCUUAUCAGCUUGUUGGUGGGGUAGUGGCUUACCAAGGCUUUGACGGGUAGCCGGCCUGAGAGGGUGACCGGCCACAUUGGGAAUGAGGUACGGCCCAGAAUCCUACGGGAGGCAGCAGGGGGGAAUUUUGCACAAUGGGCGGAAGCCUGAUGCAGCAACGCCGCGUGCGGGAUGACGGCCUUCGGGUUGUAAACCGCUUUCGCCUGUGACGAAGCGUGAGUGACGGUAAUGGGUAAAGAAGCACCGGCUAACUACGUG
RNAcentral lists this ribosomal RNA (468 nucleotides) under uncultured bacterium. RNAcentral's name for it is "partial 16S ribosomal RNA". It matches the Rfam family "Bacterial small subunit ribosomal RNA", at positions 28 to 507 of the family's 1533-position model. The record is from RNAcentral.